UGGGGUGUGGCUCAGUGGGAGAGCACUUGCCUAGCAUGAGUAAGCUCCUGGUUUCGAUUCCCAGCUCCACAA
RNAcentral lists this transfer RNA (72 nucleotides) under Heterocephalus glaber (naked mole-rat). It matches the Rfam family "tRNA". From Rfam's summary of the family: Transfer RNA (tRNA) molecules are approximately 80 nucleotides in length. Lineage: Eukaryota; Metazoa; Chordata; Mammalia; Rodentia; Bathyergidae. The record is from Rfam by way of RNAcentral.